GAAAGGCGCGCGAUACAGGGUGACAGCCCCGUACACAAAAAUGCACAUGCUGUGAGCUCGAUGAGUAGGGCGGGACACGUGGUAUCCUGUCUGAAUAUGGGGGGACCAUCCUCCAAGGCUAAAUACUCCUGACUGACCGAUAGUGAACCAGUACCGUGAGGGAAAGGCGAAAAGAACCCCGGCGAGGGGAGUGAAAAAGAACCUGAAACCGUGUACGUACAAGCAGUGGGAGCACGCUUAGGCGUGUGACUGCGUACCUUUUGUAUAAUGGGUCAGCGACUUAUAUUCUGUAGCAAGGUUAACCGAAUAGGGGAGCCGAAGGGAAACCGAGUCUUAACUGGGCGUUAAGUUGCAGGGUAUAGACCCGAAACCCGGUGAUCUAGCCAUGGGCAGGUUGAAGGUUGGGUAACACUAACUGGAGGACCGAACCGACUAAUGUUGAAAAAUUAGCGGAUGACUUGUGGCUGGGGGUGAAAGGCCAAUCAAACCGGGAGAUAGCUGGUUCUCCCCGAAAGCUAUUUAGGUAGCGCCUCGUGAAUUCAUCUCCGGGGGUAGAGCACUGUUUCGGCAAGGGGGUCAUCCCGACUUACCAACCCGAUGCAAACUGCGAAUACCGGAGAAUGUUAUCACGGGAGACACACGGCGGGUGCUAACGUCCGUCGUGAAGAGGGAAACAACCCAGACCGCCAGCUAAGGUCCCAAAGUCAUGGUUAAGUGGGAAACGAUGUGGGAAGGCCCAGACAGCCAGGAUGUUGGCUUAGAAGCAGCCAUCAUUUAAAGAAAGCGUAAUAGCUCACUGGUCGAGUCGGCCUGCGCGGAAGAUGUAACGGGGCUAAACCAUGCACCGAAGCUGCGGCAGCGACGCUGAUGCGUUGUUGGGUAGGGGAGCGUUCUGUAAGCCUGCGAAGGUGUGCUGUGAGGCAUGCUGGAGGUAUCAGAAGUGCGAAUGCUGACAUAAGUAACGAUAAAGCGGGUGAAAAGCCCGCUCGCCGGAAGACCAAGGGUUCCUGUCCAACGUUAAUCGGGGCAGGGUGAGUCGACCCCUAAGGCGAGGCCGAAAGGCGUAGUCGAUGGGAAACAGGUUAAUAUUCCUGUACUUGGUGUUACUGCGAAGGGGG
This 1118-nucleotide ribosomal RNA is filed under the name Escherichia coli. RNAcentral describes it as "partial 23S ribosomal RNA". It matches the Rfam family "Bacterial large subunit ribosomal RNA", at positions 345 to 1470 of the family's 2925-position model. Lineage: Bacteria; Pseudomonadati; Pseudomonadota; Gammaproteobacteria; Enterobacterales; Enterobacteriaceae. The record is from RNAcentral.